AUGUGGACUAGUUUCUGAUAAACAUAGUCCUGAAUGUGGACUAGUUUCUGAUAAACAUAGUCCUGAAUGUGGACUAGUUUCUGAUAAACAUAGUCCUGAAUGUGGACUAGUUUCUGAUAAACAUAGUCCUGAAUGUGGACUAGUUUCUGAUAAACAUAGUCCUGAAUGUGGACUAGUUUCUGAUAAACAUAGUCCUGAAUGUGGACUAGUUUCUGAUAAACAUAGUCCUGAAUGUGGACUAGUUUCUGAUAAACAUAGUCCUGGAUGUGGACUAGUUUCUGAUAAACAUAGUCCUGGAUGUGGACUAGUUUCUGAUAAACAUAGUCCUGGAUGUGGACUGAAUCUGUUUUGGAAACCAGUGUGUAGUAAAUAGACACCUGGCUCAUAUAGUUUGUAGUGUCCUUCCAUGUUAUGUCUCUCUAAGGGUUUAUUCAUCAUCAUCUGUUCAUCUGUAAUGUCUCUCUAAGGGUUUAUUCAUGAUAAUCUGUUCAUCUGUAAUGUCUCUCUAAGGGUUUAUUCAUGAUAAUCUGUAAUGUCUCUCUAAGGGUUUAUUCAUGAUAAUCUGUAAUGUCUCUCUAAGGGUUUAUUCAUGAUAAUCUGUAAUGUCUCUCUAAGGGUUUAUUCAUGAUAAUCUGUAAUGUCUCCCUAAGGGUUUAUUCAUUAUAAUCUGUAGUGUCUCUCUAAGGGUUUAUUCAUGAUAAUCUGUAAUGUCUCCCUAAGGGUUUAUUCAUGAUAAUCUGUAAUGUCUCCCUAAGGGUUUAUUCAUUAUAAUCUGUAAUGUCUCUCUAAGGGUUUAUUCAUGAUAAUCUGUAAUGUCUCUCUAAGGGUUUAUUCAUGAUAAUCUGUAAUGUCUCUCUAAGGGUUUAUUCGUGAUAAUCUGUAAUGUCUCUCUAAGGGUUUAUUCAUGAUAAUCUGUAAUGUCUCUCUAAGGGUUUAUUCGUGAUAAUCUGUAAUCUCUCCCUAAGGGUUUAUUCAUGAUAAUCUGUAAUGUCUCCCUAAGGGUUUAUUCAUGAUAAUCUGUAAUGUCUCUCUAAGGGUUUAUUCGUGAUAAUCUGUAAUGUCUCCCUAAGGGUUUAUUCAUGAUAAUCUGUAAUGUCUCUCUAAGGGUUUAUUCGUGAUAAUCUGUAAUCUCUCCCUAAGGGUUUAUUCAUGAUAAUCUGUAAUGUCUCCCUAAGGGUUUAUUCGUGAUAAUCUGUAAUGUAUCUCUAAGGGUUUAUUCAUGAUAAUCUGUAAUGUCUCUCUAAGGGUGUAUUCGUGAUAAUCUGUAACGUCUCUCUAAGGGUUUAUUCAUGACAAUCUGUUAAUCUGUAAUGGUUUAUUCAUUAAAAGAGAGACGUGAAAAAGAAAA
Oncorhynchus keta (chum salmon) is the source of this 1348-nucleotide long non-coding RNA. RefSeq lists it as uncharacterized. The transcript has 2 exons. The record is from RefSeq and is a predicted model, not a curated record. Lineage: Eukaryota; Metazoa; Chordata; Actinopteri; Salmoniformes; Salmonidae.